Molecule: long non-coding RNA, 313 nt
Filed under: Nicotiana benthamiana
Lineage: Eukaryota; Viridiplantae; Streptophyta; Magnoliopsida; Solanales; Solanaceae
Description: long non-coding RNA (NBEN_LNC022980)
Source: RNAcentral
GUGAAAUGAGCCCUAUUCCUCCUUUCCAAUGGCCAAUUCACCACUUCACUUACUUACUACUUACUUAAUACCGGAAAAAAAAGGCAGCAGGAGUUGGUAUGGUGACGGUGACAAUAACCUUUUCUCAUAAGAUGUUUGUGGAAUUGACGGUGACCCUUGAUGUGACUAAGGCAGCUUUACUGUUGGUGUGAAAAUGGAGGGGAAUUCUAUUGGGCUGAAGGCAGGUUAGUGUUCAGUGACAAUGAACGCUAACAUUACAUGAGAUGCGGUUGGAAGCGAGGCAGCAGUCUUUCUAUGUUUUUCCACUCUAACG